Molecule: long non-coding RNA, 7232 nt
Filed under: Daucus carota (carrot)
Lineage: Eukaryota; Viridiplantae; Streptophyta; Magnoliopsida; Apiales; Apiaceae
Description: long non-coding RNA (DCAR_LNC000777)
Source: RNAcentral
UCUCGAUCACCCCUCCUUUCUUCUCUACUUUUCUGCUGUGUUACAAGCCACCGCGACGCCGCCCUCUGCCGCCGCGAUUCUCCGGCUAGUGUUGUCGCGGUUUCAAUCAAGCCGCCUGUGUAUUUCCGGCGAGCUCUCCACCCCGCACCUCCAGUUCAAUUAGUGGUAUAAAUUGUUUUAUUUCCUCUUUUCAUUAUAAAAUCAGUUUAUAUAUAUGGGUGUAUGUAAUUGUGAUGUGAUUACUGGGUAUACACCUUUUCUUCAAUAAAUCAGAGUAUAUAUGUGUGUAUAUGAUCAGAUUGCUAGUUGGGAGAUUUGUUUGAUAUGAAUAUCAAUUCGAUAUAUAAAUGAAGUAUAAGAGUUGGUUGCUAUGUGUUUUGAGUCUACAAAUUAAUGGGUGUUGAUAUUUGAUUUGAGAAUAUGAGUUUUGGGUAAUUUGUAUUGCGAUAUGAAAAAUUGAUAAUGCUAAAGCUUGGUUUUAUCUAAAUUCGGAUAAACUAGUGAUAUUGGUUUAUAUUGUAAGUGUAAGUUGAGGUCUGAAAUAAUUGGAUUGAGCUAACUUGAGUAAUUGAAGUAUAACUUGCGAAUUAUUUAGUCAAUUGAUUGUUAUGUUUAAUUUCGCAGCAACACUGUCCUGUUUUCUAGCUCUGUUUUGGGACUGUUGAAUUCGAGUGAUAUGCUCAAUUUCUUUGUGAUUAUAUGCUCCUUAGAGUCUAGUUUAUGUGCGCGAAAGAAUCGAUUCGAUUCGACUAGCGAGCUAGGAGAGAUAUGACCGUUUUAGUAUGGUAUGCGCUGAAAAUUCUGGGCAGGUGUGUCCUGUUCCUAGCCCUGUUUUGCUACCUUUGACUCGGUAUUUACUUCUGAAAUUUUUACUGAAGAUAUAUGUUGGGGUCUGGAAUGUGUCAUUAAAAUUCUAUACAAACAGACCAAUUUUUCUAUUUAUUAAAAAUCUUAGCAUCGGGCUGGUUUUGCAGGACAAUUUCUGGUGCCUGAUUUGCAGGCCUGUUUUACAGCUUUAAACUUGGAGUUUCUUCCUGAAAAGUUUACUGUAGGUUGGAAUAAUGGUUGGGAGUGUCCCAUAAAAAUUUCGUAUUAAAACGAUAUAUUUUCAAUUUAUUAAAAAUUAUAGAAUGAAGGUUGUUUGAACUAUUUGCUCUAGUUUUCUUUCUUUGUUAGUGCAUAAUACGAGGUUCUACUUGAUUAAUUGCAUAUGAUUGAUUAUUAAAUUGAUUGGCUCAGUUGACCUUGUAUAUGUUAUUAAACGUAUUUUGUGUAUAGUGAAUUAGCAAACAUGCUAAAAGCUUUUCUUAUGUGUUUUAUCGCAAGUCAAGGGAUCUUUUUAUAUUAAUAAUUCAUGUGUUAGCAAUAGUAUUGGUUGGUUGUUGGUAUUGCAAACAGGUGGAUAAGCCUAUAAACAAAGGAGAUGCUGCCGAAUUUUCGUUAGAAAUUAUAUGUAUUUAAUGGCUAUAAAAAGAGUUGUUUGUACAACUAUGUGCUAUGUGUUUAUCUGAUUAUGUGGUAUGCAUAUGCGAAGGGUAGAUAUAUAUAGGUCUUAAUGUUUUUCAGGGUUAGUUAAUCCGUCUAAUUCGACGAUUGAAAUACUAUUUUACUAUCGUAUAGAAUUGAAGACAUUGACCGAGGCAUUGAUCGAGAAUCGAUUGCAAUGGGUAUUCAGAAAUAGCCAAGUAGUGUUGCAAGUUGAAGUAGAGCGAAGAUUUGUUAUAGAUAAAAGCUUGUCAGAAGUUGACAAAAAGGAAUGAUAUGGCGGUAUAUAGUAUUAUUAGAAAUCUGAGCUAGACACUGGAGUUAAGGCAAGUACUCUAACCCUUCACUUAUUGUUCAAGUGAGAUAUUUGAUUCAAUCAUGAUAUCGAUAGAUUGAUUACUCUCAAGAUUUAUUGCAAGUACUUCUACCUUUCUCUUGCAAAUUGGAAGCAAGUGAACUUUUCUUAAACUUUUGAUUCUUGCAAAUGCAUGACUUAAGUACGAUUUUGAUUUGAAAGGUUGACAUACCAAAUUGGUACACAUGGUUUCAAAAUAUUUAUAAAUAAUUUUCAUAACUCGGUUUAAUUCCUCUGAUCGUAAGGCUUAUCUGUUAUAAGUAUACAUCUGAUGGAAUAAACCUUUUUCUUGAAAAUGUAAAGCUGGGAAAACACUCGAACUUUGUGAGACAUUUGGUACGGUUAAUAAGUGGCUGAGGCGCCAGUCCCAAGUUUUAACAGAUCUGGCUAUAUAUGUGUGAAUCCAUGGAUAUUAUUUUUUUCAACAUUAUCUAAUGUGUUUAGGUAUUGUUGGGGCCUGUGAAGGACUGAUCAUCUUUCACAGACCAUUGCGUCUUAUCUAAAUCCAAUAUGUAAACAGGUUCGAGAAUUUGAUGUUAAAGGAAGGGGGACUUCCUAUUUGAAUUGAAAAGCUUUUAAAGGAAGGGUUAUUUCCAAAUUAAUUUGAAAAGCUUUUGAUUUAGAAGCGGAGGCUUCAACUUGAUUUAAAAAGCAAAUAAUUGUUGAUUUUUAAACUGUUUUCGAACCGUUACGUUUUACUAUGCUGCUUCUCCACUUGUUUUACUAUACAGCUUUACAUACUGAUUUGUUUACAGUACAUUUUUUUACUGUUUACCAUGCAUUUGAUUACUUUAUCACUUGCUGAGCAUUUUUGGCUCAUUCUUGCUUUUCAACCCUAACCUUUCAGCCAAGGACAAAGAUGUUUCACCCGAUUAGGCUGCGUGUGCGUGUAAGAGUAAUGAUAGGCAAGGAUUGCAAGUGGUUGAGUUUCAGGCAUAUGGUCAGGUAGAGUAUCCAGAAAGAUGUCAUUAAGACUAGUUGCAGUUGCAGUUGUGCAAUUUAAUUCAGUUGGGAAUUAGAUUUGUUUAUUUGGUUAUCAACUACUCUUCAUAUCGAGGUUUAGUUGAUAAUUUAGUUGAAGUUGUAUAAAAUUUGUAGUUUUGUUUUCUGAUUUCAAUACUAUAGCCUGUAUCGAUCCUGUUUUCAGGGGGUGAAAUUGAUUUGUAAUUUAAAUCAUUUUUAAAAUAUCCAAGUUUUAAAAUAUUUGUUUUUACUUUCUUUCAAAAAUACCGGUUUUUAAUUGUUUUUCUUUUAGUGGCUCAAAAAUACAGGUUUUAAAUUAUUUUUUUAUUUACACGUGGCACCAGAUCCAGACCCCCGGAUCUGUGGGAUGUCACAGUUGGUAUCAGAGCUGCAGGUUAUAAGUCAUUGAAAUCAGAAUAUAGGUGGUAAUAUCAGGUUUAAUAAAAAGGUGCGUUAAGUGUAACCUCACAUAGAGGUAGUCUACAACUAUUUGGAAUAGUGUGUGUCAAUAGAACCAAGAUUCACAUAUAGUAUUGACCUUGAGUAUAUCAUAGUGUGUAUAAUAGGUUUUCUGUUCCAGAACUAGCAAGUUUAUAUCUCAAGGAAGAAAGAACAGGCCUCCACCAGUUUUUAUUAUAUUGAGUAUUUAGUACUAAUACUAGCAACCAAAUAGAUUCACUUGUUGAGUCUAGAACGCCACUAAUUAUUUCAUAGUCCUUGUCACCAAGAUAGAGAUAAAUUAAAAGGGUUACUAUGAGUUGUUAUAUUGUGGAUUAAAAUUUCUUAACACCAGUUUAAUUGAGUUUCAAACUCAUAGUAGGUGGAUAAGAUUUUUGUCAGUGUUUAGCUUGUUAGUCGAUUUAGAGUCAAAACUAUUUGAAGGGUGAAAGAUAGACCUAUUAGUUGAGCUUUAAAAUUGGAAUCAGUUGAGGUCGGACCAGUAGAAGCAUUCCCAUAGUCUAGAGCAUCUUUUGAAGUAUUUGUCAAGUUUUGAGAACUAUUUGAAAGGUCACCUUUUGUUUCAUGUCAGUGAUAUAUAGAGUUGGUCAAAGAAUAUAGGUGUUACCAGGUCCGAGUUUCAAGCUUUGUAUAUAGUUAAGUAGUGAGCGUUGGAGCUACGUAGAGUUCGUAUUAGAUUACUCGAUCUAGUACCUAUGAGUGAGUUAAGAUGUCAACGCUCUAUGGUGAUGACUGCAUAAAGCUGGAAAAGAUUUCUGAUUGACAACUAUAUCGAUAACGGGAUCUUCAGAGGCUAUUACAAGUCAACGAUAAUAUAUGCAAGUGAUCACUAGAACGUCGAGAAGAAUCAUUACAAUCCAAAACGAGUCAUCAAAUGAAUCGUUCAAGAGGACAUCCAUGAAAAUCCUGGCAAUACCUUCCUCAUAUUCGAUAAUAUUGAUUUCUUUCCUCAUCAUUGAUUUGUUCUGACAUCACUUUCAUAAAGACAUUUGAUGAAGAAUAUAUCUUUCUGUCUCACUUGAGUUCUCGAAUGAUACUUGUGCUUACUGUAACACCUUUGGAAUCUAUUCAAUUUUGAUAAUUUCAAACCCUUUCAUAUUCUUUAUUCUAACCGAGGUGAACAACCCUACUUACAGGGGACACAAGGACUAUCUGUCUGUGUGAUAGAAGUUGGAUGGGACGCCAUCCCUUGUGUGUGUUGUAUAUACAAGAAGGUUAACUACCUUUAGUAGUGUCUUAAUCUAGACACACAACACUGAGUUCUUUAGAUCAUAUUGAUCUCUCAGUUAUCUCUCAUUUCAAAUGAGAUUUAUUUAACAUUCUUAUAAUCAUAUGACCACAAUCACGUGACAUUUGCUUCGAUAUAUGAAAUCUGUCAUACUUUUAAAUCUUCAUGAUUCUUGUUAUCUCUAAUAGUUUGGAGGUAUGCCAACCAAGUUGCUAACAUAAAUUAAGACUUUGUAGUAUAAAGCACCAGGGAUGAAAACGGAUGACAAUGCGGGUCAAUCAACAAAAAUUUUAUAUAGGAAAGAAAGAGUAUUAUGGAUUACAGAGAUCGUGCGCUCUAGUUUGCUUUUCGUUGAUUCCGAGGACGGAAUCCUUUUAAGGGUGGGAGAUUGUGACGACCCGGAUUUUUCAAAAUUUAUUUUGUUAGUUUAUUUGUGAUUCUUCAGAAAAAGUGGAAUAAAAUUUAAUAUUUUAUCCUAGUUUGAUAAAUUCUAAAAAUAUUUGUUUAAAUUAUUUUUCGGGUUCACUAGGGUAUCGAAAUUUUGUUGUCUGUUUUGAAUUAAAUGGCAUGUUAAAUACGUGAAUCACUUGUUAUAAGAUUUAACUGUUUAUUUGGAUGUAAUUUAUGCAUGUGUAUAUGUUUGUUACUAAUUAUUGUUUUGUUUUAGAAAUAUUUAUAAUUUUCUUAAAAAUAGAUUUUUGAAAGAUGAAUUCCUAAAAAUAUGAAAGCGAUUUCAAAAAUUCUUUUAAUUAUUUGAUAACGAUAAUAACUAUUUUUAGGAGUUUUUAUAAUAUUAAAAAUAUCACCUUCAUAAAGGUGUGACUUCUAAAUAUUUCCUGAAUGCAUUUAACUUCUAAAUUGCGUAUAAAUUUCAAAAUUGCUCUGUAAAUCUUGAAAGUUUUAUUUUAUUAGUUUUAAAAUAUUUCGGGAUUUAUAAAAAUAUUUCGGUAGUUGUCGGGAGAAAUUUUACUACAAGUUAUCUCCGUAAAAUAGUUAAAGCUGGUAUAAGAUUAGUGAUUAGCCAGCUCGUUAAGGACACGUGACAGCACAAGGCUCAGCCACGUGCCCCUAUUUUCGCCACCGCAAACCCUCUUUUCUUUUCUUCUCCAUACUUUUCUUUCACUCCAUUUUUUUCAUCAGUCUUGACUCUCUCCCUCACCAUUCUAUCCCGUCUCUCCUCUCUCGAUCACCCCUCCUUUCUUCUCUACUUUUCUGCUGUGUUACAAGCCACCGCGACGCCGCCCUCUGCCGCCGCGAUUCUCCGGCUAGUGUUGUCGCGGUUUCAAUCAAGCCGCCUGUGUAUUUCCGGCGAGCUCUCCACCCCGCACCUCCAGUUCAAUUAGUGGUAUAAAUUGUUUUAUUUCCUCUUUUCAUUAUAAAAUCAGUUUAUAUAUAUGGGUGUAUGUAAUUGUGAUGUGAUUACUGGGUAUACACCUUUUCUUCAAUAAAUCAGAGUAUAUAUGUGUGUAUAUGAUCAGAUUGCUAGUUGGGAGAUUUGUUUGAUAUGAAUAUCAAUUCGAUAUAUAAAUGAAGUAUAAGAGUUGGUUGCUAUGUGUUUUGAGUCUACAAAUUAAUGGGUGUUGAUAUUUGAUUUGAGAAUAUGAGUUUUGGGUAAUUUGUAUUGCGAUAUGAAAAAUUGAUAAUGCUAAAGCUUGGUUUUAUCUAAAUUCGGAUAAACUAGUGAUAUUGGUUUAUAUUGUAAGUGUAAGUUGAGGUCUGAAAUAAUUGGAUUGAGCUAACUUGAGUAAUUGAAGUAUAACUUGCGAAUUAUUUAGUCAAUUGAUUGUUAUGUUUAAUUUCGCAGCAACACUGUCCUGUUUUCUAGCUCUGUUUUGGGACUGUUGAAUUCGAGUGAUAUGCUCAAUUUCUUUGUGAUUAUAUGCUCCUUAGAGUCUAGUUUAUGUGCGCGAAAGAAUCGAUUCGAUUCGACUAGCGAGCUAGGAGAGAUAUGACCGUUUUAGUAUGGUAUGCGCUGAAAAUUCUGGGCAGGUGUGUCCUGUUCCUAGCCCUGUUUUGCUACCUUUGACUCGGUAUUUACUUCUGAAAUUUUUACUGAAGAUAUAUGUUGGGGUCUGGAAUGUGUCAUUAAAAUUCUAUACAAACAGACCAAUUUUUCUAUUUAUUAAAAAUCUUAGCAUCGGGCUGGUUUUGCAGGACAAUUUCUGGUGCCUGAUUUGCAGGCCUGUUUUACAGCUUUAAACUUGGAGUUUCUUCCUGAAAAGUUUACUGUAGGUUGGAAUAAUGGUUGGGAGUGUCCCAUAAAAAUUUCGUAUUAAAACGAUAUAUUUUCAAUUUAUUAAAAAUUAUAGAAUGAAGGUUGUUUGAACUAUUUGCUCUAGUUUUCUUUCUUUGUUAGUGCAUAAUACGAGGUUCUACUUGAUUAAUUGCAUAUGAUUGAUUAUUAAAUUGAUUGGCUCAGUUGACCUUGUAUAUGUUAUUAAACGUAUUUUGUGUAUAGUGAAUUAGCAAACAUGCUAAAAGCUUUUCUUAUGUGUUUUAUCGCAAGUCAAGGGAUCUUUUUAUAUUAAUAAUUCAUGUGUUAGCAAUAGUAUUGGUUGGUUGUUGGUAUUGCAAACAGGUGGAUAAGCCUAUAAACAAAGGAGAUGCUGCCGAAUUUUCGUUAGAAAUUAUAUGUAUUUAAUGGCUAUAAAAAGAGUUGUUUGUACAACUAUGUGCUAUGUGUUUAUCUGAUUAUGUGGUAUGCAUAUGCGAAGGGUAGAUAUAUAUAGGUCUUAAUGUUUU